AGACGACAUGAGCACAAGAACACGCACACUUCCGUGACCAAUUCAUACUCUGUAUAAAUAAAAUCUCCAAUAUAUCACAUGUUGAUCUCCUAGCCACACACGGACACACCUAGUCACCAAAGCGCAUACUUCUCAAGAAUAGAACGGCAAAAAAGAGCAGGAUAAAAAGGAGAGCUGUACGGGACAAAAGAAGAAAGCCUAGAAAACAAUAGCGAGCAAGCAGCUCGAGGCACCCGCGCUAGUAGUACAAAAGCCAAGGUGCAAUUUCGCAAGCUCUAGCUAGACGCUUCCACUUGGUCAUUUCCCACCUGGAUUCUUAAGCUCUUGGGCUAAGGUGGUAUAUUAUUUGGACUCUUGAAGCCUCAAGCCUCUGAAUUUGCUCACUGAGAACAAGUCCUAUGGAAGACUCCAAAAAGAGACAAGCCCUUCCACAGCUGCUAGAUCUUAUCCCGGAUGAGAAAGAAUGGAAGGCGAGGGAAGCACAAGUGCCAGGGAGAUCAAGAAACACAGCCUUUGGGGCCGAGGAGGACAAGAAGCUAGAGCUAAAACUCGGUCUUCCAGGUUUCAUAGAAAAAGAUAUAGCAGCAAUGUCAAGAGAUGAAGGGAUACAGCAAGAGAGCCCGGCUCUCUCUCUUGGUUACUUCCCUAAACCCUCGAAGUCUACCACCAACAGUACAACAACUGGGACAAAGAGGGGAUUCAUAGACACUGUUGAGGCCAAAACAAAAGGUUGUAAUGAGCAGAAGCAGCAGGUCAGAGCGGGAUGUGGGAACAAACUAGCACUGGAGGAAAAGAUAGCAGCCAUGAGCGAGAGAAAGAAAGGAUGCUGCCCACGACCAUCGCAUGCCCCUCCUGCUGCAUCUGUGCGCAACAGCGGCAACAGACCACAGGCCCAGGGAAGAGGGGCUUCAGCUCCGGUGGUAGGUUGGCCUCCAAUCCGAUCCUUCAGGAGAAACCUUGCUAACAGCAAUUCAUCCAAACAACCCCCUGGACCGCAAAAUGGUGAAACUAGCGCGACGGCGAAACUCACCUGCAAGAAGAAUCCUCUCGUAAAAAUCAACAUGGAUGGGAUCCCCAUUGGAAGGAAAGUAGACCUUGUAGCCUAUGACAGCUACCAGAAGCUAUCAGUGGCUGUCAAAGAGCUUUUCCAUUGUUUUCUUGAAGUUGCAGUUCAAAAGGAUAAAUCUAGUGCUGAAGGUGGACAGUACGGAGCAGAUGAAAAAAUAUUUUCUCAAUUAUUGGAUGGAUCUGGUGAAUAUACUCUAGUUUACGAAGACAAUGAAGGAGACAAGAUGCUAGUGGGGGACGUGCCAUGGAAGUAAAGCUUCCUUAUUCCUUUGCCAUAUACAAUUUAGCCACACCCUAACAAGAUAAAAAGAAAGCACACACCCUGCCACCAUGAUUUAUUAUGUACCUGAAACUACAGUAGACUUUUUUUUUCACUUCAGUGUCUUCGUCUCAAAUGCCAAAAGGCUGAGGGUUCUGAGGAGCUCAGAACUUUCCCAUGGCCUGAUUGGAGCGGCUCCUAAAAGAAUAGCAAAUUGCUGAGAUGGUGACAUAUUUUCAAUCAUUUGGAAUGACUUCAAAUUGAAGCUGGUUCAUUCUCCUCCCAGGAUGACACCUAUAUUUGCCUGUAGAGAUUAAUCUAAUGAGACGAACUAGCAUAUUUCAGAUGCGUGGAAAUACGCAGGCUAUUUUGUAAAUUAGGUUAUCAUGUGCUUUAAUGCCAUAGGUAAGGUGCUAAAAAUAAUUCUAAAUGGUUUGAGCAUUGGGAUUUUGAUAGAGGCGCAUAUGUAGACUCAAGGUUUACUCCUGUAAAAUUCCUUGUUCUGUGUGAUACUUGUAUUCGGUCCUACUGUAAUCCGAAGUGCAAAUCUAAUGUUCAGACCACAAUGGUUAGGUUGCA
Molecule: RNA transcript, 1906 nt
Organism: Phragmites australis (common reed)
Lineage: Eukaryota; Viridiplantae; Streptophyta; Magnoliopsida; Poales; Poaceae
Gene name: auxin-responsive protein IAA6-like
Exons: 7
Source: RefSeq, a predicted model, not a curated record